GACCUGGGGGAUCCGAGUGGGGGGGGUCACCUUCCCCGCCCCCAGCGAAGUCGGCGCCGGAACUGCCCUAAUGGAAACCAGCCGCCAGGCACUCCAGGAGGGCUCAGGCCGACCCUGGGGGCCAUCAGAGAUGCGCCAGGCCGAGGGAGCUCGCGGCGGCUGGAAGAUGAACUUGACAUCCCGGCUCCACCGACCCGUCAGCGGCUCGUCAGCGGCUCGCACCCCAUCCCCACUCCGGCCGGACCAAAGUAGAAUCCGGGGUGUGCACGUGAUUUCCCAGGGAGGGCGGACUCGGGGCUUUCCCUGUCGCACCUUCCAUCGGGGGACCGUCCCCAAGUCCCCGAGAGUCCCUCGGGCAGGAUCCUUAGGGCUCAGAGCAUAGGAGGACCUGGCUUGCCUGGUGGAGGCGAGCAGCCGAGGGGUCGGUGGAGCUGCGCCCCAAAUGAGUUCCUGGCGCGCGGUUCUCCCCACCCGGACCCUUUGUCCGCCUCCUUCUCCCUCGUCCCGGGCCUAGGCUCAGGGGACCCAGGCGGCAGCGGCGGAGGUGGCAGAGGCAGAGCCCAGAGGCGCAGCCCUGACAGCUGGGAGGGUCUCACGUGGAGCCGUCCCCGGGAUCCGCGCAGUGACGGCGGGGGUCGAGGGGGUGGGGUAGGCUGCGGGCGCGCGGGAUGGGGGCUGGGGCGCAGCCCGAGAAGUGGGAGGGGAUCGGGUGAGGGGUGGUCUCUGAGGAGGAGCCAGGCUGGACCUUAUUGUUCCGCGCUCGGCCGGGGAGGGCGCGGGGCGUUCGGCUUCCCAUGUUCCUCUCCCCGCCCCCGCCCCGUGGGCGCGAGAGGAGGCUGGGGGCUCCUUGUGCACCCGAGACGCCGCUGCCUGGCUCGCCGGGUGGGGUGUGGGUCCUCCGAGCGGUGCCGGGAAGGAGGUGCUCUCUGCCCGCGCUCCCAGGACGGCUCUACCCAGGGCGGGGGUCCGGAGUGGGCCGACCCCCGCAGCGCCCUGGGUUCGCGGGCCCAGAGGCUGGAGGCAGCGAGGAGCUAGGGUCCUUCACCCUCGUCACAUGCCUCCCCAGGAGUCGGCGUCCCAGUUCCCCGCGAUGGCCGCGGGCCGCUGCCGUACGGAGACGCCGCGCGGACUCCGGAGCGCCCCUUCCUAGCGGGGCGCAGCUCUUUCUUGUCCCCCGCCGGGCCAGCGGGAUGGGAGGCGGAGGGUCGGUCCUGAAGGUCUGCGCGGACCACCGCGGGGGCAUCAACUGGCUGAGCCUGAGCCCCGACGGGCAGCGCCUGCUGACGGGCAGCGAGGACGGCACGGCCCGGCUCUGGAGCACCGCCGACGGCCAGUGCUGCGCGCUCCUGCAAGGACACGAAAGCUAUGUGACCUUCUGCCAGCUGGAGGAUGAGGCCGCCUUCACAUGCAGCGCCGACUGCACCAUCAGGAGGUGGGACGUGCUCACCGGGCAGUGUCUGCAGGUGUACCGAGGACACACGUCCAUUGUGAACAGGAUCCUGGUUGCCAACAACCAGCUCUUCAGCAGCUCCUACGACCGGACAGCUCGGGUCUGGAGCUUGGACAAGGGGCAGAUAUCCCGGGAGUUCCAGGGCCACCGAAACUGCGUGCUGCCUCUAGCCUACUCUGCCCCGUGGGACCUCCCCAGCGCUCCCUGUGUGGAGGAGGCCGUGGCUGGGGGGCUCCUGGUGACUGGCAGCACGGACGGCACGGCCAAGGUAUGGCAGGUGGCCAGCGGCUGCUGCCACCAGACACUGCGGGGCCACACGGGCGCAGUGCUGUGCCUGGUGCUGGACACGCCCGGCCACACGGCCUUCACGGGUAGCACCGACGCCACCAUCCGUGCCUGGGACAUCCUGAGUGGGGAGCAGCUGCGGGUGUUCCGGGAGCACCAGGGCUCCGUCAUCUGUCUGGAGCUGGUGAACCGAUUCGUGUACUCUGGCAGCGCGGACAGGACCGUCAAGUGCUGGCUGGUAGACACGGGGGAGUGUGUGCGCACGUUCACGGCCCACAGACGCAACGUGAGCGCCCUCAAGUACCACGCGGGCACCUUGUUCACGGGCAGCGGGGACGCUUGCGCCCGGGCCUUCGACGCGCAGUCUGGAGAGCUGCGGAGGGUGUUCCGGGGCCACACAUUCAUCAUCAACUGCAUCCAGGUGCACGGCCAGGUGCUCUACACCGCCUCGCACGACGGCGCCCUGCGCCUCUGGGACGUGCGCGGGCUCCGAGGUGCCCCGCGGCCCCCUCCGCCCACGCGCAGCCUCUCACGCCUCUUCAGCAACAAGGAACCCAGGGCGGCGGGCCUCCUGCCCUCUGCCUCUCACACCGGCCUGGGCAGCUUUGGGGGUGACUUGUGGAGAUGCGGGGCUGCCGCCAGUGUCACUGGUGCAGGGAGUGGACUUGGAAGAGGCCAGGGAGCAAGGGAGCGGCUCUUUAGCCUGUGCAGGUGCCAGGAGAGAAGCUGCAGGUGACAGUGUCUGCCGUGAAGAGCUCAUCAUCUCGCUGCAGAGAGAAGCAUCUGCUGCAGGAGCAGCCCCUUCAAGUGGAGCAGCCCUUUCAGAGUUGAGUCAAGAUAGUCUUCCUCAUGCUCCGGAAUGUCUUCCAGUAUCUCAUUGACGGCCUCUGUCUCCAUGUCUUCGUCUGUUGAGGCACUAGAGGUUCCUACAAUAAAAUACCGCGGGAGUAAGUGAAUUAUGUGAGGAUUGUCCUGGGGACACUGCACAACCACAGUCAACCUCAGACUGUGCCUCCUGCUGGCCACACUGUCCAGGCGGCCAGCCCAGCGACGUCAGGGGACGCCCCUCUCAGUCUCCAUGUCUGACGUGGCCUAGGGUACCAGCCCCAUCUGUUGGCUUCUGAAGACACUUUGCUGUCAACGUGGCCCUCAGAGACCUCAGACCUACCUGCAGAGUCAGAAGGGGAUGUGGCUGGCGGAGACAAAGAGUCUUCCGGCGACAGCGGCAGGUCGGGGGGCAGGCUUCCUCCGUUGUGAGCAAGGGUCUGGGCAGCCAGCUGGACGUUGCCUCUGAACACUCUCAGCGCAGCUUCGGCCACAAGUGCAUCAAAACCCAUGUACACCAACUAGGGGAGAGGGCAGGGUCACAGCCUCGGCCACCCCCAUCACCCACAACGAGCAGACAGCCGGCUCUCAUAUUUAAGAGCUCCCGGCAUGCGCACCAUGGCCCUUUCGGCACAAGUCAUGCUUCUGUGCAACGGGAGCGUGGAGCAACCUGGAAGGGGGGCUUGGAAGACUCGAGUCAGGUGCGUCAGUAAGCAGCCAUCUCGGGACAGGCAGUGACCUCGGGCUGAGAGCAAGGCGCCACGCCAGUCUCACCACGAGCACCGUGAGGAGACAGAAAGCUUUCAACAAAGCUAAGUGACUGCCACAUUCUCCCAGGGAGACCAGCUCCACCAUCAGCAGCAGUGAGGACGGGGGAGAAAACAGACUCCCCUCCUUCCAGAGACCUGCUCCUGCCUCCCACCCAGCCCAGGCAACAGGCGCCUCCCUGCGUUUUCCCCACAGCAAGAAAGUGGCCUCAUCUCAGGAAAACAAAAGCACCAUCAUCAUGGAACCAGACUCCACAGUGCCACGGUAGGAGCAGGCAGAGCAGAGUGGCUGCUGGAAACAUCUCCAGGGAUGAAGAUACCUGUACACUCAUGGCCUGUCUCUAUCACAGGAGAACCUCCCCUAGUUGGUGUACAUGGGUGCCUCUCUGCACCCCGAGAAUCCAGCUGCACCAGGCCUGUCUCAUGCCCCCAUUACGUGCUCUACCUCUCAGCGGCCAGUCUCCCCCAGCUCCAGCCCCACUGCACAGCGCAGUGGGCUCCGUCAUUCCAGUCACCUACCUAAAAGCCCACAGCAGCUCCCGACCACCUCCCCACACUGAGGCACCAGCUCCUUAUUAUGCUACUCAGGGCUCCCACUCCCUAGCCCCAACAGCGCUUCCAAACUGACCUUAUCCUGCCACACAACCCAACCACGCACGCCAGCAGGAGCCUUUCAUGCCACUCACAUUUGCACUUUUAUUCACACUUACACUCCACAUAAAAUGCCUUUACUGGUCCCAUCCUCUGCUUUCAAUACAGUUUCUUCCAUUUAUAUUCCAAAAGGCUAUGAAGCAUGCCUAACAUCCAAGCACAGAGAAGGACGCUGCCAGCCAGCAGACCUGGGCAUUACCUAACACAGACCUCACAUCAACUGGGAGCUUCGAAGAACACUUCCUUUCAUUACAAAUGUCUUAGUCUGUUUCCUUUUAAUCAUGUAAACACACGUGAGAAAAUUAUUUUCUGAUAUAUUUCUCUUUAUACUAAGAUGAGUUAGAAAGAUAAAGUAGAUCAAUCAAUGACAGUACUGCACUGAAGUGGCUACAGUUAAGUAGAAUCAGAUUUCAAGAGAGAGACAUUGUAUGGUCACAAGCAGCUGGGACAACCUCUUAGGAAGGCUGCCUCUCAUAGUCUGGCCAUACUGAAGCAUGAUCUGUGAUCUCUGUUUCUACAGCUGUUGCUUUUUGCCAGAUGAGAAACUGGUCUGUACUCAGGGCCAUGUUGCACAAAAAAUAUAAACUUUAAAAAUUA
This is a non-coding RNA of Macaca mulatta (Rhesus monkey), 4575 nucleotides long. NCBI's taxonomy places the organism in Eukaryota, Metazoa, Chordata, Mammalia, Primates, Cercopithecidae. The record is from RefSeq and is a predicted model, not a curated record.